GAUGGCCUACGGACGCAGCAGUGGGGAAUAUUGGGCAAUGGGCGCAAGCCUGACCCAGCAACGCCGCGUGAAGGAAGAAGGCUUUCGGGUUGUAAACUUCUUUUAAGAGGGAAGAGCAGAAGACGGUACCUCUUGAAUAAGCCACGGCUAACUACGUGCCAGCAGCCGCGGUAAUACGUAGGUGGCAAGCGUUGUCCGGAUUUACUGGGUGUAAAGGGCGUGCAGCCGGGAAGACAAGUCGGAUGUGAAAUCCCGCGGCUCAACCGCGGAACUGCAUUUGAAACUGUUUUUCUUGAGUACCGGAG
This 305-nucleotide ribosomal RNA is filed under the name uncultured bacterium. RNAcentral describes it as "bacterial SSU rRNA". It matches the Rfam family "Bacterial small subunit ribosomal RNA", at positions 333 to 654 of the family's 1533-position model. The record is from RNAcentral.